UACGAAGGGGGCUAGCGUUGCUCGGAAUCACUGGGCGUAAAGCGCACGUAGGCGGGUCGUUAAGUCGGGGGUGAAAUCCUGGAGCUCAACUCCAGAACUGCCUUCGAUACUGGCGAUCUUGAGUCCGGGAGAGGUGAGUGGAACUGCGAGUGUAGAGGUGAAAUUCGUAGAUAUUCGCAAGAACACCAGUGGCGAAGGCGGCUCACUGGCCCGGUACUGACGCUGAGGUGCGAAAGCGUGGGGAGCAAACAGG
RNAcentral lists this ribosomal RNA (253 nucleotides) under uncultured bacterium. Its description in RNAcentral is "partial 16S ribosomal RNA". It matches the Rfam family "Bacterial small subunit ribosomal RNA", at positions 524 to 776 of the family's 1533-position model. The record is from RNAcentral.